RNAcentral lists this unclassified non-coding RNA (755 nucleotides) under Hevea brasiliensis (rubber tree). Lineage: Eukaryota; Viridiplantae; Streptophyta; Magnoliopsida; Malpighiales; Euphorbiaceae. The record is from RNAcentral.
GAAAAACAGGAUAUUUAUAAAUAACAAAACCCUUCUUUUAGUCUUGUUCAAUGAAUCAACAGAAAUAAACUAGACCUAAGAUUUCCUAAUUGCAGCAUUCAAUAUAUGUACAUUCUCAAAACAACAGAACUUCACAUCAGUCAUUAAGCAAUGUGAACUUUCUCAUUGAAAUCAAUAGUCAAGAUGCAGCUCAUAUACUCAUAAGGGAAGGUAGCACAACAUCAAAGAAAUAACAAACUUCAGAGCUACUCGACUAAUUGAUAUAAGAUUUCUAUUCACAAUGUUUGCACUUUACCCAAGUGGUUAAAAAAUACCAGGCAACCGUCCUCUUAUUCUUGCCUUCUCCUUCAGUUGUUCCACUGCUUCAAGGUUGUGCUACGAGUAUCAUGCAUGCUUAAAAAGCUUCAUGCUAAGCCAAUGGAAGUAUACAGCAACAACAAGUAUAGGAACAGUCAAGGGUACCAGGACGCAGUAAUACCUGUCAUUUUGAAUGGCUGAGAUGAUAGGAUUGUCGGAUGAAGGAAGAAGCUUAGAUAUAACUGCUGCAAAGAGAAAUCCCACAAAAGAAACCAAGCCGAUUCCGAUCAACCACCAUCCCCAAUAUGUAGUCGUUGCUUUGGGUAUGUCCGUUCUAGAAGAAACCAUUUUCUGGAAUUCUCCUCUACAUCUUGAUAGCACCAAAAAAGACAAAGAAUUAAACGAAAGCUUCUUGGUUUGCACAGACAACAAUGAGGGAAGAAAGAAUUGGGGGCAUA